RNAcentral lists this ribosomal RNA (499 nucleotides) under uncultured bacterium. RNAcentral's name for it is "partial 16S ribosomal RNA". It matches the Rfam family "Bacterial small subunit ribosomal RNA", at positions 30 to 523 of the family's 1533-position model. The record is from RNAcentral.
AUUGAACGCUGGCGGCAUGCCUUACACAUGCAAGUCGAACGGCAGCACGGGAGCAAUCCUGGUGGCGAGUGGCGAACGGGUGAGUAAAGUAUCGGAACGUGCCCAGUCGUGGGGGAUAACGUAGCGAAAGUUACGCUAAUACCGCAUACGAUCUAUGGAUGAAAGCGGGGGAUCGCAAGACCUCGCGCGAUUGGAGCGGCCGAUAUCAGAUUAGGUAGUUGGUGGGGUAAAGGCUCACCAAGCCGACGAUCUGUAGCUGGUCUGCGAGGACGACCCGCCACACUGGGAAUGAGACACGGCCCAGACUCCUACGGGAGGCAGCAGUGGGGAAUUUUGGACAAUGGGCGAAAGCCUGAUCCAGCCAUGCCGCGUGCAGGAUGAAGGCCUUCGGGUUGUAAACUGCUUUUGUACGGAACGAAAAGGUCUACUCUAUACAGUGGGCUGAUGACGGUACCGUAAGAAUAAGCACCGGCUAACUACGUGCCAGCCGCCGCCGUAA